Molecule: ribosomal RNA, 488 nt
Filed under: uncultured bacterium
Lineage: Bacteria
Description: partial 16S ribosomal RNA
Rfam family: Bacterial small subunit ribosomal RNA
Source: RNAcentral
AUUGAACGCUGGCGGCAGGCCUAACACAUGCAAGUCGAACGGUAACAGGAAGAAGCUUGCUUCUUUGCUGACGAGUGGCGGACGGGUGAGUAAUGUCUGGGAAACUGCCUGAUGGAGGGGGAUAACUACUGGAAACGGUAGCUAAUACCGCAUAACGUCGCAAGACCAAAGAGGGGGACCUUCGGGCCUCUUGCCAUCGGAUGUGCCCAGAUGGGAUUAGCUAGUAGGUGGGGUAACGGCUCACCUAGGCGACGAUCCCUAGCUGGUCUGAGAGGAUGACCAGCCACACUGGAACUGAGACACGGUCCAGACUCCUACGGGAGGCAGCAGUGGGGAAUAUUGCACAAUGGGCGCAAGCCUGAUGCAGCCAUGCCGCGUGUAUGAAGAAGGCCUUCGGGUUGUAAAGUACUUUCAGCGGGGAGGAAGGGAGUAAAGUUAAUACCUGCUCAUUGACGUUACCCGCAGAAGAAGCACCGGCUAACUCCGUG